This 496-nucleotide ribosomal RNA is filed under the name uncultured bacterium. RNAcentral's name for it is "partial 16S ribosomal RNA". It matches the Rfam family "Bacterial small subunit ribosomal RNA", at positions 29 to 507 of the family's 1533-position model. The record is from RNAcentral.
AUGAACGCUGGCGGCGUGCCUAAUACAUGCAAGUCGAGCGAACGGACGAGAAGCUUGCUUCUCUGAUGUUAGCGGCGGACGGGUGAGUAACACGUGGAUAACCUACCUAUAAGACUGGGAUAACUUCGGGAAACCGGAGCUAAUACCGGAUAAUAUUUUGAACCGCAUGGUUCAAAAGUGAAAGACGGUCUUGCUGUCACUUAUAGAUGGAUCCGCGCUGCAUUAGCUAGUUGGUAAGGUAACGGCUUACCAAGGCAACGAUGCAUAGCCGACCUGAGAGGGUGAUCGGCCACACUGGAACUGAGACACGGUCCAGACUCCUACGGGAGGCAGCAGUAGGGAAUCUUCCGCAAUGGGCGAAAGCCUGACGGAGCAACGCCGCGUGAGUGAUGAAGGUCUUCGGAUCGUAAAACUCUGUUAUUAGGGAAGAACAUAUGUGUAAGUAACUGUGAACAUCUUGACGGUACCUAAUCAGAAAGCCACGGCUAACUACGUG